GCUGGAAUAGCUCAUUCGGUAGAGCAUGAGACUUAAAUCUUGAGAUUGUGGGUUUGAGCCCCACAUUGGUA
Molecule: non-coding RNA, 71 nt
Organism: Podarcis lilfordi (Lilford's wall lizard)
Lineage: Eukaryota; Metazoa; Chordata; Lepidosauria; Squamata; Lacertidae
Source: the annotation of a GenBank genome assembly